This 170-nucleotide ribosomal RNA is filed under the name uncultured bacterium. Its description in RNAcentral is "partial 16S ribosomal RNA". It matches the Rfam family "Bacterial small subunit ribosomal RNA", at positions 338 to 525 of the family's 1533-position model. The record is from RNAcentral.
CCUACGGGAGGCAGCAGUGGGGAAUAUUGGACAAUGGGCGCAAGCCUGAUCCAGCAAUGCCGCGUGAGUGAUGAAGGCCUUCGGGUCGUAAAACUCUUUUACCAGGGAUGAUAAUGACAGUACCUGGAGAAUAAGCUCCGGCUAACUCCGUGCCAGCAGCCGCGGUAAUA